CAACUCAUACAUACUCAAACAUUACAUGUCUUUACAAAAACAUCAUUUAUUAACACAAAUAUCUUUAUAAUAUUUAAUUACCAAUACUUAAGUAAUUCAAUUGGCUUGGAGACCCUCACCAAUGGAUCCGGAAGGGUCAAAAACCCCCAGAACGACAAAACGGACGUCCGGAGCUCCCAAAACGUCAAAAACAUCAAAAAUACACUUUCUGUCGCAGAAAACUCGCUGAGCGCACACUUACUGGUGCGCUAUGCGAAUUUUUGCUGGAAAACACAAAAAUUUUGAGUUCUCGCUGUGCGAGAACUCUCGCUCAGCGAAUCUGCACUUCUGUAGAUUACCAAUUCUGCAGAUUUGCAGAACACAUCUACCCAAAACUUGUUAUAGGUCAAUUGGUGCACUUCUAAUGAUCGUAACUCGAAGUAUAUGAUGAUUUAAACUUGUCUAAGGUGUCUAAUUGCUUAUAAACCUCUUAAUCUAUUAAUUAUGCAUCAUUUUAGAAUCAAUUUCUCAAGUUUCAACAACUUAUAGAUCCAAUUUCAGUUCUAGCACUUAGAAAGCAGUUUUGACUAAAUGCACACUUCAUACAAGUCAUAUAUGACUUAUACCCACUUCCUAAACUGACCAAACCUAACUAUAACCUCAAACCCAAAAUUUGGCUAUCCUAGUUCCUAAAUCAUUCCUAAAAUAUAUACAACAGGACCUAAUUCUCAUCUUCUACUUUUGUAUAGUAAUUCAUAAUUGUUCCUCUUCAUACAUCCAAUCUCACACAUACCCAUUCUUCAAAAUCAUAAACACCAUACAAAAAUCAACAGUACAACAAUUACGUUCCAACAUUCCAACUUUAGCAUCAAAAUAGAAAUUAAACAGUACACAUGCAUUCACUCAAUUUAUCAAAAUCAUAACCUAUUCUAUAAAUCAGUAAGAACAGCGAUCACAUGCUAGCUCCCCUUACCUUGAUGGUGUUACAGCUCAAACUCAAUGGAACUUAUAGUGCUUGAAACGCCGAGAUGAGUUUGCUAGAAUUUUACCUAAAUCAAAAGAUUGAGAAAGGGGGAUACUUUUCAUAAUCUAAAAGGGAAAUAGGAUUUGGGGAAAACAAUUACAUGGAGUUACAUGCAGCAAGAUUGCCUACAUGCAGUCCAGAUUGUUUGCAUGUUCUCAACUCAAGAGAAACUGAAGAAAUUUCACUUACCAGGAGAGGAAACUAAACUGUUUCGAUGGGCUGUUGUACCGAUCUCACAGUUGCCUAAACGUUUUCUGGUAAGAGGAGCAAUUGAAUCCAGUGAAAAGAUUUCAGAACAAGGAUGUAAGAGGAAUCAAGGAGGGAAGGGAAAAACAGAGGGGAGAACACGUUGCUUGCAUCUGCUGAAGGAAAGAAUGAAACUUCAAUUUUUGAAGUUUCAGCAUUUUUUUUUAAAGGAAUGAUGUUUCAGCC
Molecule: long non-coding RNA, 1435 nt
Filed under: Vigna radiata
Lineage: Eukaryota; Viridiplantae; Streptophyta; Magnoliopsida; Fabales; Fabaceae
Description: long non-coding RNA (VRAD_LNC007823)
Source: RNAcentral